Oreochromis niloticus (Nile tilapia) is the source of this 699-nucleotide long non-coding RNA. RefSeq lists it as uncharacterized. The record is from RefSeq and is a predicted model, not a curated record. Lineage: Eukaryota; Metazoa; Chordata; Actinopteri; Cichliformes; Cichlidae. The transcript is spliced from 3 exons.
UCAUGACACAAUAUGGAGCCCGCAUAAGCUGCGUUUAUUGGGUAUAAGUAUUGGCAUCAGGAAUACCCGCCCUGUAGUUACUCAGUAUCAGAUCGAUACCAAAGCUGUUACAGCUCUGCUAAUCACAGUUCAAUCAAGUUCACUUCUCCAUCCCUGAGAGAUCCUCUUGGUCAUACCGUAUUUUAAUAGGAAGAAUCGGAUUUUAUAUUCUCCGCAUGCUCAUUGGAUAGGAGCCUGUCAAUCACAAAUUAUUAGCCAAUGAGCAAGCCGUUUCACAGCCAGAUCCGUGCUUCCAAAGUAACGUGGGUUUUCUCGCAACCAAGAUGGCGACCGCAAAAAAAAAACAAACAAAAAAACGCUCAUCCCGAUGCUUUCAAACGCUUUCAGAAAACAGCGCGUGGCAUCACCUGUAGCUACGAUCGCACCUGACAACCUCGUGAACCACGUGGGUCUCUGCUCCCUGAUCUGUUUCCUGUGUUUGGAAAGAGUUCCAGCUUCAUCACGGAGUUUCUCUCGGUUUGUGGGCUCAUCUAAAGCUGAUCAGCAGGAGGAGAGUCUGACAGAGCAGCAGAGAAAGAUUUUCAGCUAUUUGGUCUCAGCUGAGUCACUACAAAGGAAACAAUGACUUUCACAGAAAAGGACCAACAUGGACCGAAAAGUCAGCGCUCUCAGGAGGCCGACAAACCUCACAGAAGAAAG